AACGCGAAGAACCUUACCAGCUCUUGACAUGUCUCGUAUGGGGGCCGGAGACGGUUUCCUUCAGUUCGGCUGGCGAGAACACAGGUGCUGCAUGGCUGUCGUCAGCUCGUGUCGUGAGAUGUUGGGUUAAGUCCCGCAACGAGCGCAACCCUCGCCCUUAGUUGCCAUCAUUCAGUUGGGCACUCUAGGGGGACUGCCGGUGAUAAGCCGAGAGGAAGGUGGGGAUGACGUCAAGUCCUCAUGGCCCUUAUGGGCUGGGCUACACACGUGCUACAAUGGCGGUGACAAUGGGAUGCUGAGGGGCGACCCCGAGCAAAUCUCAAAAAGCCGUCUCAGUUCGGAUUGCACUCUGCAACUCGAGUGCAUGAAGGUGGAAUCGCUAGUAAUCGUAGAUCAGAACGCUACGGUGAAUACGUUCCCGGGCCUUGUACACACCGCUACAGU
RNAcentral lists this ribosomal RNA (444 nucleotides) under uncultured bacterium. Its description in RNAcentral is "bacterial SSU rRNA". It matches the Rfam family "Bacterial small subunit ribosomal RNA", at positions 958 to 1401 of the family's 1533-position model. The record is from RNAcentral.